RNAcentral lists this ribosomal RNA (406 nucleotides) under uncultured bacterium. Its description in RNAcentral is "partial 16S ribosomal RNA". It matches the Rfam family "Bacterial small subunit ribosomal RNA", at positions 29 to 526 of the family's 1533-position model. The record is from RNAcentral.
AUUGAACGCUGGCGGCAGGCCUAACACAUGCAAGUCGAACGAGUGGCGGACGGGUGAGUAAUGUCUGGGAAACUGCCUGAUGGAGGGGGAUAACUACUGGAAACGGUAGCUAAUACCGCAUACCAUCGGAUGUGCCCAGAUGGGAUUAGCUAGUAGGUGGGGUAAAGGCUCACCUAGGCGACGCUCCCUAGCUGGUCUGAGAGGAUGACCCGCCACACUGGAACUUGGACAAGGGCCAGAAGCCCACGGGAGGCAGCAAGGGGGAAUUAUUGAAAAUUGGGGGAAGGCUGAUGGAGCCCUGCCGGGUGGAAGAAGAAGGCCUUCGGGUUUUAAAGUACUUUCAGGGGGGAGGCGUUACCCGCAGAAGAAGCACCGGCUAACUCCGUGCCAGCAGCCGCGGUAAUUC